CUUCCACUUCGGCAGGGCUCAGCACCCCCGCGACCUCAACUCCUUAUCCAUCUGGGGCCGCUCCUCUGCAGCGGGGCAGCGAGCCCCUCUCCUCAGGGUCUGGGCCCUCUACCUCCAGGCCCU
Non-coding RNA from Tursiops truncatus (common bottlenose dolphin), 123 nucleotides. The record is from Rfam. Lineage: Eukaryota; Metazoa; Chordata; Mammalia; Artiodactyla; Delphinidae.